CGGACAUCUGCAGAACUCGCCCCUGCGGAUCCGCGGCCGCUGCAGAGUCUGAACCUGGGUCAGAAUGAACGAUGGCGGCAAGCUUAACAAAAGCAAGUCGAACGGUAACAGGCCUUCGGGUGCUCGACGAGUGGCGAACGGGCGAGUAAUGCAUCGGAACGUACCCGGGUCGUGGGGGAAUAACGAGCGAAAGUGUGCUAAUACCGGACACGAGCUGAGGAUGAAAGCGGGGGACCUUCGGGUCCUGUGUGAUUGGAUGUGGUUGACGCCGGACCAGGUCAGGCCGGCGGUGGCAAAAGUGCAUGAAUGUGGAGGGCUGGCA
Molecule: ribosomal RNA, 322 nt
Filed under: uncultured bacterium
Lineage: Bacteria
Description: partial 16S ribosomal RNA
Rfam family: Bacterial small subunit ribosomal RNA (bases 37-322)
Source: RNAcentral